AACUGAUACUACCUGCGGGAACCUGCGGAAGGAUCAUUACAGGACUCGCAAGACUCCUACAACCCUGUGAACCUACUAUACGAACGUUGCUUCGGCGGGUGCGCCCCGGGGAUUCGUUCCCGCGGCGCGUCAGCCCGCCGGCAGCCUACAAAUUCUGUUUCUUUGCGUUGGCAUCUCGAGAAAAACAAAUAAGUUAAAACUUUCAACAAUGGAUCUCU
RNAcentral lists this unclassified non-coding RNA (218 nucleotides) under soil metagenome. Its description in RNAcentral is "partial contains 5.8S ribosomal RNA, internal transcribed spacer 2, and large subunit ribosomal RNA". The record is from RNAcentral.